Erinaceus europaeus (western European hedgehog) is the source of this 2046-nucleotide long non-coding RNA. RefSeq lists it as uncharacterized. The record is from RefSeq and is a predicted model, not a curated record. Lineage: Eukaryota; Metazoa; Chordata; Mammalia; Eulipotyphla; Erinaceidae. The transcript is spliced from 2 exons.
GCAGGUGAGAACAGGGCAGGUGGGUCUGCAGGUGAGAACAGGGCAGGUGGGUCUGCAAGUAGGACUGGGGCAGGUGGGUCUGCAGGUAGGACGGGUGCAGGUGGGGCCCUGACAGGUGGGUCUGCAGGUGGAGCCUUGGCCGGCACCCACGUCCUGUGUGCAUGGCCAGGCUACCUGACGUGAGGCCACUGCUGAUUACACCGCUUGUGACAUGUUCUAUUUUUAUGAUUCCCUUUCUAGUGUUAAAGAACUUUUAAAGGAAUUUUCCACUUUGAUAUUCAGAGUGAAGUCUAGGGAAAUGUUUCCCGAGAUAACUGUGCCGCUCUGGUUUGCUGCUCUGCAUCUAACAGCCCACAGCCCUUUCUCUUAAUAGUACUCUUCCUCCUGGGCACUUGGCUCUUAGUCUGAUGGAGCCAUCAAAAUGACAGUCCUGUCAGUUAAACAGGCGUCAGCCUCCUCUGCUUGGUGUCUUGUGCAAAGAAACGAACAUCGAACUAUCCAGGGCCCUUCAGGACCCUGCUCCCCUACCAGGAGCCCCCGUACCUCCUUCACCCCUGCUUCUCCUCAGGCCCCGGGGGAAUUCUUUAAAGAUGAUGACUAUGGGAAGGACACUGGUGCUGAUAACAGCAAGAGCACAUAACCCUUAUCCUUCUGUUCUGAUGCAGACCAAACUGUCAUUUAGUCCAUCCGCCCAAUGAACUUCAGUAGAUCUGGGUGUGACAGACUAGCUGGGUCUGUUCCUGACGACAGCACUUCUGCGCCUAAGCGUGCAUCCUCAUUUGAUGUCAGUCUUCUCAAUGUGUGUCUGCAGAACACUCUCACCCCAAGCUAGGUCCCUUCCACCAUCAUGCACCAGGACCCCAGUGCCCUGUCCACCAUGUCUGUUCUUCCCAGCAUCCUUUGCUUUGGUGCAGGACACUCCACUAAAUCUGUGUUUUAAAGGUGAGUGCCUGCCUGGGCCAUGACCACUGGGGCUGGAGCUGGGCCUGGACCGUGGGAAGCAGAGGAGGGUCCGCAUAUGGUCCUAGGCCAGGGCACCGGGGGCAAAGCCAUCUUCUCUGCUAUCACCGUGGGGGUGGCCAAGGCCAUCAGUGAGGUGUGGGGGUUGUGGAUCCAACCUCCCUUCUUCAUCUGGGGAGUCUCUUCCAGCUGAUAGUACCACACAGGACGUGGUACCUGUGACUUCAGAUUGAGAACAUCAGUGUUCACUGGGAUGCUCAUCUUGGCUGAGUGGGAUAGCCCUUGCCCACGACCCCCCAAGGCACUGGAGGGCUUUUCAACCAGCAGGUAUGGACACAGCAUCCCUGGCUCCCAGGUAAGACUUGGGGCGCGACACCUACCACAGUAAGGCUCCCUCCUCCCUCCCUAGUGGUGUGUGCUGUGCGUGUGAGCGCUGCAUAACCACAGGCGUCCCGGACAAAGGUCAUGUUCUUCUUAAAGGUGAUAAAAACUUACUCCGGCAUCGAGUCGACGACUUCUGAGCACUUAUGUAACUUUUCUGUGUACUGAAUGAUCAGCCAUUGUGUGCACACUGGAGGCCCUCAGAUUCUCAGGGCCAGCAUUCUCUUUGUCCCCCAUGUCACCAGAAGAGCGGGUGCAAAGUUCAGAAAUGACAAUGGCAUUCUCACCAGGGCUGACACGAGAAAGCUCCUUUCCUCCCAGGAACACAGUGUGUGUAUGCUGGGGUUCAAGGCUGCAGACCAAAGUGUUUUGUUUUGAGUCAGGUACUAAGUGUUAGUUCCGGUGAUGGAGCAGCAGUGAGGAAGUUAGGAGUCUAGCUGCAGUGCCAGGAGGUAGUUCACCUGGCAGAGUGCAGACAUUGGCACGCAUGAGGCCUGGCUGCGGUUCAAGUCCCCAUACCAGGCGCAAGCAACCCCCUCCCCAGAAGCUUCAUGGAUGGUGGAGAGGUGUUUCUUUCCCUCUCUGUAUCUGAAGUUUACAAAAGAAGGAAAAUGUUGGCCUGAAACAUGUGGUGAGCCUCGCAUUAAGAAAAUCAUUCCAUAACAACAAUAAUAACUGCAAUAAAACAAGGGCAACAAAAAGAAA